CGAACGAUGAUGCCCAGCUUGCUGGGCGGAUUAGUGGCGAACGGGUGAGUAAUACGUGAGUAACCUGCCCCUGACUCUGGGAUAAGCCUGGGAAACCGGGUCUAAUACUGGAUACGACCUUCCACCGCAUGGUGGGGGGUGGAAAGGGUUUACUGGUUUUGGAUGGGCUCACGGCCUAUCAGCUUGUUGGUGGGGUAAUGGCUCACCAAGGCGACGACGGGUAGCCGGCCUGAGAGGGUGACCGGCCACACUGGGACUGAGACACGGCCCAGACUCCUACGGGAGGCAGCAGUGGGGAAUAUUGCACAAUGGGCGAAAGCCUGAUGCAGCGACGCCGCGUGAGGGAUGACGGCCUUCGGGUUGUAAACCUCUUUCAGUAGGGAAGAAGCGCAAGUGACGGUACCUGCAGAAGAAGCGCCGGCUAACUACGUGCCAGCAGCCGCGGUAAUACGUAGGGCGCAAGCGUUGUCCGGAAUUAUUGGGCGUAAAGAGCUCGUAGGCGGUUUGUCGCGUCCGCUGUGAAAGCCCGGGGCUCAACCCCGGGUCGGCAGUGGGUACGGGCAGACUAGAGUGCAGUAGGGGAGACUGGAAUUCCUGGUGUAGCGGUGAAAUGCGCAGAUAUCAGGAGGAACACCGAUGGCGAAGGCAGGUCUCUGGGCUGUUACUGACGCUGAGGAGCGAAAGCAUGGGGAGCGAACAGGAUUAGAUACCCUGGUAGUCCAUGCCGUAAACGUUGGGCACUAGGUGUGGGGGACAUUCCACGUCCUCCGCGCCGUAGCUAACGCAUUAAGUGCCCCGCCUGGGGAGUAC
RNAcentral lists this ribosomal RNA (810 nucleotides) under Kocuria sp. RNAcentral's name for it is "bacterial SSU rRNA". It matches the Rfam family "Bacterial small subunit ribosomal RNA", at positions 63 to 883 of the family's 1533-position model. The record is from RNAcentral. Lineage: Bacteria; Bacillati; Actinomycetota; Actinomycetes; Micrococcales; Micrococcaceae.